UGCAAACUGCCACUCUCCAACAUUUUUUUUGGGGGGGUGAGCGUUUGGUCUCUUAAGAACCGUAAGAAUAGAUCUUAAAUGUUCUGUUUUACCUGGGAUGCUGUCACCUCUUGACACUUCAGAUGAUUCAGUGGAAGAGAUUCUCAACCUCUCACUAUUGCAUGCAUUAGAUGGCACUGUUGGUGUUUAAAAAAGAUUCUUAUCUUCCUGGCAGUUUCACUCUUAGGAAUAUGCCCAAAAGAAUUGAAAACAGAGACUUGAGAAAAUACUGGAAUAUUCAUAACAGCACUAUUCAUAAUAGCCAAAAAGUGGAAACAACUCAGAUGUCCAGAAACCGACGAAUGGAUAAGCCAAAUGUGGUCCCUCCACACAGUGGAAUAUUAUUCAGCCAUGUAAAAGGAAUGAAUUUGUGAUACAGGCUACAACACAGAUGAACCUUGAAGACGUUACGCUCCGUGAAAGAAGCCAGACACAGGAGAACAUAGAUAUGGACAGAAAUAUAGAAGAAUGAAAUGAUAGAAAAUCCAGGAUUCGUCUCAAAGUCAAGGUUGAUACUGAGCUGAUAAGGGCUGAAGCUUGUUACACAGAAAGAAUUUGCAAGUGGCUCAGAGGAUCCCUGCAAAGUGGAUUCCGAGCCGAGCUCCCAGGAGUGAAUCCCUGCCAGUACUGCAGGGCUGGCCACCACGGAAGCGAGCGCCUCCCGCAGGAUCCAAGGACUUCAAAUCUCGGGCGGCUCUCACGGCUCCAGGUCCCAGGACCACUCUCGCGGUCCGCAGCGUCAAAGCAGAGGCUGAGACUUCGGGAUAACAAAAUAUCGAAUGACGGCCCUUCCACCACAUUUUAAGUUAAUCGCAGUGAUCCUGGAUCUCAACAGUAGGAUCUCAUCAAAGUUCUUAACAUCAAGGACCCUGAAGCUCGCCCGCCAAAGUGUUCCCACCAGCCCGGGCAGAAAGCGGUCACGGCCG
Molecule: non-coding RNA, 965 nt
Organism: Kogia breviceps (pygmy sperm whale)
Lineage: Eukaryota; Metazoa; Chordata; Mammalia; Artiodactyla; Physeteridae
Source: RefSeq, a predicted model, not a curated record